Picea glauca (white spruce) is the source of this 123-nucleotide non-coding RNA. Lineage: Eukaryota; Viridiplantae; Streptophyta; Pinopsida; Pinales; Pinaceae. The record is from Rfam.
UCUUAUGUACAUGCCUACAGCGUUAAUGCACUAAAUCCCAUAAGAAUACGCAAUUUAGCGUGCUUGGAAUAGAGUAGUACUCGGAUGGGUGACCUCCCGGGAAGUCCUAGUGUUUUGCAUGCC